RNAcentral lists this long non-coding RNA (1662 nucleotides) under Canis lupus familiaris (dog). RNAcentral describes it as "lncRNA (ENSCAFG00040010358.1)". The record is from RNAcentral. Lineage: Eukaryota; Metazoa; Chordata; Mammalia; Carnivora; Canidae.
AUGGGUUCUGGAGAUAUCACAAGUUCUGGUUGCAAUAUUCAUGCCCUGCCCCCACUCUUCUUUAUAAGACUGUGCUCAGCUAGAGAUCACAAGAAAAGUUCUUUUCUGGAAAUCACAGGGGAGAGAAACUAUCAAUAUCUGCUUCCCUGUCUUCAUCCUUCCAGGCUUAAGAAGAUUCAGGGCCCCCCCACAGAUACACAUCACUGGAGAGGAGUGCAGCUAAGGAGAUGGAUUCAGUCCCAUUGCUGAUGGGAAUCGGAAAUGGGAAAAAAUGGACCUAUAUAGUUCUGGCUAUCCUGCUAUGAACAUGGAGCUUCCCAGGAGAGAGAAUGGUUAGAAGGAUGACAUGAUAUCUGCUGGGUGAACCCACCACCAUGUGACUAGAGGCCUGACAAGCAUCCAUCAUGUACGAAGUUUAAGUAGUUUGUUCACAGGCCAUGAGUUCUUGGACAUUGAUUAGUGGAUGUUGUAGAUAUAUUCUGUUGUUUUUCAGACUAAGCUGAAUCUGGAUAUCCCCUAAUUAGGGAGAUUUUAAGGCUUGGAAAGAGAUUUUCUUGAGGUUUCCAAGUCUUUGGACAGUAAUAUAUUGGGCCAUACGUAUUGGCAAUGUAUUGGGCCAUAACAGUACUAAGCUUGAGGACUGAGCAGAGAUUGGUUACUACUAGAUAUAACCUCUUUUGAAGUAAAUCAUUAGUAUUUUCACUUUGGCAUACUUCCCUUAUUAACCAUCCCCUACCUUUGUAAAAACAAAACCAAAAACAAACAAAACAUAGACUUCACAAAGCACUUUUAUGCUAAUGAUCCCAAAUCUCUUAUCCCCAUUUGCAACAGAGGGACAUGUGUCUGAGAGAGACCGGGUGACUUUCCCAGAGUCCCUACAAUAUGUUAAGUUUUCUUCCCUAAAUUACCAUGAGUCAAUUAUUCAUGUAUUAAAUAUUAUUUAUUAGAACCUACCACAUGCCAGAGGAGGUGCUGGGAUCAAUUGGUGAUCAAUCAAGAAAUACAAAAUAACUGUCCUUACCCUCAUAGAGCCUACAGACCGUUAAGGGAAACAGGUAAGCAAUCACAACACUGCAUAAUGAGAACUUUCAUAAAUGAGGCAUAAGGAACUACUACUGACAGGUGGUUGAAGGCCCCACAUCACCACUAUCUCAAGUGACAUUUAUGGGGCACUUACUCCAUGCUAGGCACUGUGUCAUUGCUUUGCAAAUAUCAUCUUUCUUAUUAUUCACUCACGCAGUCAACAGAGAAGAGAGAGACACAUGGAGAGGUUAACCAAUCUGUGUCACAAAGAAAAGUGAAGCCCAAAUUUAACUAAGCAGUCUGUCUUGAGCCCUCAGACAUGGAAUUUCAUCUAGAUAAUUAUAAUCUUCCUGAAGAAAAGAUUUUGGUUAGCAAACUGACACCGAGUUCUGUUCAGUGAGGCAGAAAAGAUUUGACUAAUGAUCGGUUUGAGUAAAAAUCUAUCAUAAUUUCUAAACAUAGUUCUUUCAAAACUGAAAUUGAAAUUAAAUUUUAUGAAGUUUCUGUGGCCAGGGUGUAGAAAUUAUUUAAAUAUUCUAACAAGCCCACAGUCAAAUCAAAGGAGUUAGCUGCUAUGCCCAUCUCUGUUAUAUUGCAAACAGGAUUUUUCACCUUCUAUAAAUUAAUCAGGAGGGUAGA